RNAcentral lists this ribosomal RNA (525 nucleotides) under uncultured bacterium. RNAcentral's name for it is "bacterial SSU rRNA". It matches the Rfam family "Bacterial small subunit ribosomal RNA", at positions 982 to 1509 of the family's 1533-position model. The record is from RNAcentral.
GUACAUCCAGAGAACUUAGCAGAGAUGCUUGGUGCCUUCGGAACUCUGAGACAGGUGCUGCAUGGCUGUCGUCAGCUCGUGUUGUGAAAUGUUGGGUUAAGUCCCGCAACGAGCGCAACCCUUAUCCUUUGUUGCCAGCGGUUCGGCCGGGAACUCAAAGGAGACUGCCGGUGAUAAACCGGAGGAAGGUGGGGAUGACGUCAAGUCAUCAUGGCCCUUACGGCCAGGGCUACACACGUGCUACAAUGGCGCAUACAAAGAGAAGCGACCUCGCGAGAGCAAGCGGACCUCAUAAAGUGCGUCGUAGUCCGGAUUGGAGUCUGCAACUCGACUCCAUGAAGUCGGAAUCGCUAGUAAUCGUAGAUCAGAAUGCUACGGUGAAUACGUUCCCGGGCCUUGUACACACCGCCCGUCACACCAUGGGAGUGGGUUGCAAAAGAAGUAGGUAGCUUAACCUUCGGGAGGGCGCUUACCACUUUGUGAUUCAUGACUGGGGUGAAGUCGUAACAAGGUAAGCGUAGCGAG